Falco peregrinus (peregrine falcon) is the source of this 546-nucleotide long non-coding RNA. RefSeq lists it as uncharacterized. NCBI's taxonomy places the organism in Eukaryota, Metazoa, Chordata, Aves, Falconiformes, Falconidae. The record is from RefSeq and is a predicted model, not a curated record. The transcript has 3 exons.
CCUUAAAGGGACAGCACCCUGCCGGCACCGGGGGACAACUUCUCCCCGCAAGCAGCGCCGUCCUGACGCGCACUCCACCCGUUUGAUUCUUCUCCGUUCACCAUGCCAAGGCCACACGAGAAAGGGUGAAACUGCCACUAUCCACUAUUAUAUAUGGAUAUUUAAGGAACCAAAAGGGUGAGCACCAAAUGAACAACCAAUGUUCCCAGCACAUUUAAACAAGAGUGCUUCACACCAUUUACUACGGACUGCAGAGGGAGCCAUUGAUUCCAAGAGCAGGAAUCAAAGGAAGCACACUCCACACCUGUUUCUCCUGGCAAACGACUGAGAAAGCUUCAAGAUUCUGGCAGCUGGAAGCAGGAACCAGAAAUAGACCCUUAAACAGCAGGGGGAAAGUCAAUAGAAAACUUGCUUUUUUUAAAAAAAAAAGGAACCGCAAGUUGUUGAACUCUGUAUUUUAUUAUUUCACAGCUUUUUUUCCUUAAAAAUCUAGGCACUUGUGAAUACCCAAAUUUUGACAAAAGUUUAUACAUUGAAUGUUCUAAA